AGUUGUUCAAAUCGCAAUCAAGCACGACUGCAUCUGAGACCGCUAAUCAGCCCAUGAUCUGCGCGAAGCAGACUCCCUGCGCCUGGUCUAUCUACAAACCUAUAAGCAAAUAUAUUGAAAUGAAUAUUACAAAUACAUAUUGCAUCUGUUCAGCGACCGAAAACUGUAUUAUUACAUAUGACGAUUCAACAAUAAACGCAUACAUACAUUACUGUAGGCCCGCCAAUCACAAAGAGGACAUAGAUCAGAGUUAGCAAGUGACUCACACGCCCCAAACGCUACUAGCAGGCUGAGAAGGCUUGCUCACACCCACCGCAUUGUCAAUCAGCUAAUAACGGCACCGACGCCGCGACGACUCCGCAUCGGAAGACUGUUCAAAUUUAAACGAUUGCACCGUCAUGUAUUGAUGGUCAUGAAACAUGGUAACUUCAAUAGCUUCCAUUCUGUAUGUAUAAAGUAACUGCGUUUAAUUUGCUGUAUGCAGGAUUGUUUAACAUAAAAUACCAAA
Long non-coding RNA from Manduca sexta (tobacco hornworm), 508 nucleotides. RefSeq lists it as uncharacterized. The transcript is spliced from 2 exons. Lineage: Eukaryota; Metazoa; Arthropoda; Insecta; Lepidoptera; Sphingidae. The record is from RefSeq and is a predicted model, not a curated record.